UUAACUGAAACCAAAAAAGAGGUAAAUUAUUGUUAAUAAUUUUAAUGAAUAUACUUAAUAUUCCUGUUGAAA
Molecule: transfer RNA, 72 nt
Filed under: Cryptopone sauteri
Lineage: Eukaryota; Metazoa; Arthropoda; Insecta; Hymenoptera; Formicidae
Description: tRNA-Asn
Source: RNAcentral